UUUCCCCAGAUGAGCCUUAGAGUUUUUCUCCUGUAUCGUAUUUAUAGUUAUAAACUCAUCAGGACUGCAUGUGUUUUAUUUGGAGCUGUAAAGUGGGAAUAAGUAUAGAAAGAUGUGUGUGCUUUUUAAUAACAGCUGAACCUUGAACUCUGCUCAUUUCCCAGCUGCCCAACACCAGCUGCAUUGCCUCACCUAUGUUUUUAGUAGAGCACUUCACCAUCAUCUGACUGGAGAUGGGAAAACUAAAAAGAAAAAGUCACGUUCACGUGUGGUGGCAGUUUCCUAAAAGCUCAAAAGUCAGCAGUUCACUCUUUUGCCCACUCUUAUAAAUGAAUUUGAACUCUUCUCAUGUGGAGAGGAUUCCUGGCUGCAGUUGGGGCUUUGCUUCAGAGCCCUCUUGCCCUCUGUGGCUGGCGGCCUCCAAACUGCCCUUGCAUACAAAGCUCCUGUUAAAAAUAAUCUAGCAGCAGGUUCAAGCUGUCUUUAAUUUCUAAAAUUACUACUGUGCAACUGGUGCUUUAGAAAGAAACACAAUCCUCCUUUUAGAAUGGAUUUUACUGUUUUUAUUUGUACGCCAGCGCUAAAGAGCUGCUUAACCGAUGCCUGGGGUGGUACAUGCUGUCCUGCCCUGCACGCAAGGAAGAGAUACACCCAAGGGGAAUCCCCCCUUGUGCAGACUGAGGUCAUUUCUCAGUCCCCUGGACCACGGCUGCAAGAGGAACGAAGGGCACACAGCCCUGCGGUUACUCAGAGAGAGCGUGUGCCUCCCUGCAGGCUUGCUGUCAUCUGUGUCACUGCAGUAAAUAUGAUGAGACCAUUUAAUCUGUCAGAAAAAUAAAUAUUUGUACGGA
Long non-coding RNA from Apus apus (common swift), 851 nucleotides. RefSeq lists it as uncharacterized. Lineage: Eukaryota; Metazoa; Chordata; Aves; Apodiformes; Apodidae. The record is from RefSeq and is a predicted model, not a curated record. The transcript has 2 exons.